Molecule: ribosomal RNA, 756 nt
Filed under: uncultured Tremellodendron
Lineage: Eukaryota; Fungi; Basidiomycota; Agaricomycetes; Sebacinales; Sebacinaceae
Also listed under: 1 other name
Description: eukaryotic LSU rRNA
Rfam family: Eukaryotic large subunit ribosomal RNA
Source: RNAcentral
AAUCCCGUCUUUGACAUGGACUGCCAGGGCUCAACAGGUGUGCUCUCGAAGAGUCGAGUUGUUUGGGAAUGCAGCUCAAAAUGGGUGGUAAAUGCCAUCUAAAGCUAAAUAUUGGCGAGAGACCGAUAGCAAACAAGUACCGUGAGGGAAAGAUGAAAAGCACUUUGGAAAGAGAGUGAAACAGUACGUGAAAUUGUUGAAAGGGAAACGCUUGAAGUCAGUCGUGCCCUCUGGGAUUCAGCCUUGCUUCUGCUUGGUUUACUUCUCUUUGGGUGGGUCAACAUCAGUUUGGGUCGGAGGAGAAAGACUUGGGGAAGGUGGCAGCAUUCGUGCUGUGUUAUAGCCCCUUGUUGUAUACUUCGAUUUGGACUGAGGACCGCAGCACGCCUUUGGCCGGGGCUCGCCCACGUACGUGCUUAGGAUGUUGGCAUAAUGGCUUUAAGCGACCCGUCUUGAAACACGGACCAAGGAGUCUAACAUGUGCGCGAGUGUUUGAGUGUUAAACUCAGACGCGAAGUGAAAGUGAAAGGUUGGGAACACUUAUGUGUGCACCGACGCCCGGAGCUGACCUUCUGUGACGCAUCUGCGGUAGAGCGUAUAUGUUGGGACCCGAAAGAUGGUGAACUAUGCCUGAAUAGGGUGAAGCCAGAGGAAACUCUGGUGGAGGCUCGUAGCGAUUCUGACGUGCAAAUCGAUCGUCAAAUUUGGGUAUAGGGGCGAAAGACUAAUCGAACCAUCUAGUAGCUGGUUCCUGCC